RNAcentral lists this ribosomal RNA (460 nucleotides) under uncultured bacterium. RNAcentral describes it as "partial 16S ribosomal RNA". It matches the Rfam family "Bacterial small subunit ribosomal RNA", at positions 338 to 795 of the family's 1533-position model. The record is from RNAcentral.
CCUACGGGGGGCUGCAGUGAGGAAUAUUGGUCAAUGGACGAGAGUCUGAACCAGCCAAGUAGCGUGAAGGAUGACUGCCCUAUGGGUUGUAAACUUCUUUUAUAUGGGAAUAAAAUGUUCCACGUGUGGGCUUUUGUAUGUACCUUAUGAAUAAGGAUCGGCUAACUCCGUGCCAGCAGCCGCGGUAAUACGGAGGGUCCGAGCGUUAUCCGGAUUUAUUGGGUUUAAAGGGUGCGUAGGUGGGUUGUUAAGUCAGUUGUGAAAGUUUGCGGCUCAACCGUAAAAUUGCAGUUGAAACUGGCAGUCUUGAGUACAGUAGAGGUGGGCGGAAUUCGUGGUGUAGCGGUGAAAUGCUUAGAUAUCACGAAGAACUCCGAUUGCGAAGGCAGCUCACUGGACUGCAACUGACACUGAGGCACGAAAGUGUGGGUAUCAAACAGGAUUAGAUACCCCUGUAGUC